This 740-nucleotide ribosomal RNA is filed under the name uncultured Staphylococcus sp. RNAcentral describes it as "bacterial SSU rRNA". It matches the Rfam family "Bacterial small subunit ribosomal RNA", at positions 59 to 781 of the family's 1533-position model. Lineage: Bacteria; Bacillati; Bacillota; Bacilli; Caryophanales; Staphylococcaceae. The record is from RNAcentral.
AAGUCGAGCGAACGGAUGAGAAGCUUGCUUCUCUGAUGCUAGCGGCGGACGGGUGAGUAACACGUGGAUAACCUACCUAUAAGACUGGGAUAACUUCGGGAAACCGGAGCUAAUACCGGAUAAUAUUUUGAACCGCAUGGUUCAAAAGUGAAAGACGGUCUUGCUGUCACUUAUAGAUGGAUCCGCGCUGCAUUAGCUAGUUGGUAAGGUAACGGCUUACCAAGGCAACGAUGCAUAGCCGACCUGAGAGGGUGAUCGGCCACACUGGAACUGAGACACGGUCCAGACUCCUACGGGAGGCAGCAGUAGGGAAUCUUCCGCAAUGGGCGAAAGCCUGACGGAGCAACGCCGCGUGAGUGAUGAAGGUCUUCGGAUCGUAAAACUCUGUUAUUAGGGAAGAACAUAUGUGUAAGUAACUGUGCACAUCUUGACGGUACCUAAUCAGAAAGCCACAGCUAACUACGUGCCAGCAGCCGCGGUAAUACGUAGGUGGCAAGCGUUAUCCGGAAUUAUUGGGCGUAAAGCGCGCGUAGGCGGUUUUUUAAGUCUGAUGUGAAAGCCCACGGCUCAACCGUGGAGGGUCAUUGGAAACUGGAAAACUUGAGUGCAGAAGAGGAAAGUGGAAUUCCAUGUGUAGCGGUGAAAUGCGCAGAGAUAUGGAGGAACACCAGUGGCGAAGGCGACUUUCUGGUCUGUAACUGACGCUGAUGUGCGAAAGCGUGGGGAUCAAACAGGAUUAG